This 239-nucleotide long non-coding RNA is filed under the name Gossypium barbadense (sea-island cotton). RNAcentral describes it as "long non-coding RNA (GBAR_LNC016013)". The record is from RNAcentral. Lineage: Eukaryota; Viridiplantae; Streptophyta; Magnoliopsida; Malvales; Malvaceae.
CUGCCUUUCAUGGAAACUACUCAACUACCAUGUGUUGCCCCUGUCUGAUCAUGCGCCUCCUCUGUGUAAAUCAUUCAACCAUUUAUCUAAUUCAAUUGCUGGCCCGCUAACCUAUUUCUUUUCUUUCCUUUUUUUUACCUUGAUAUGAAGAUUCAUUGUCCAAUAUAGCUGAAAAUUCAGUGCAGUUGCUCAGUCACAAGAGACAAUACUAAUUGCGGGGAUGCAACGAAGAAAAUGAU